CAGGUGCAGAGCUCGCACCUUCAGGGCACUCAGGUGCGCUGCCUUUGUUUGGAGGAUAAACAGUAGAGGUGUGGGUCCUGCUUCCCUGGGCCUACACAGCAGAGCAGCCUCCAAUGCUCUGCUGACCCCUGGGACUCAGGCUCUCUGUGCGCUGGGAUACGGUUAUUUUCCUGGUGCUUGUUCUCUGCAGGGCCGGCCCUGACCCCCAUCUCUCGCAAGAAUUGUAUGGAUGCCCAUUUCCAGAUACUUGUUCAGCAACCCUCAAACCAGAUGCACGUCUGUCUUUGGGUCAGUAAUCUGUACCCUGAAUCGGCAAUCAGAGCGUCACGACAGAACUGUGUAUCAACACCACUAGUCUAUUUUUCCUGUUCAUCAAAGUUCCUCAUUAACGAUCAGAAAACAUGGACCAUGUAAAGUGGCCCAUGCUAUCUCUACUGACGAAGGAAACCCUUGCACAAACCAGGAAGCGUGGAGAAGACAGGAGACAGAGGGAUCCACCAGGAAGGGCGGAAAUGCAGCUUCAACACCCUCCCCUCAGGUCAAUUUGAAAUUCUGGAUUCGGCAUCUACUGACCCAAGGGAGUGCACGUGGCAUCCUGUGUGCAGCACCUUCGGACCCAGCUGUGGUAGAACCUGGCACAGCCAGUGGGCCCUGUCACGGUGGCCUGGAGGAGCCCCAGAGGACAGCGACAGGAACCAGGACCCUGGCAGGGUUUAUUUUCCAGUUUCUGGGUAAAGAGGAAAGAACUGAGACUAGGAAUAGAACCUGGAAACCAGCUGCACAUGCAGGUAGAGUCUGGCUGGGGCCCCCACAUGGAUCGCGAUACGUGGGCCACCCUCACAGCAUGACUGAGCUCAAGCCACAUCCGUGCUCCCAGCCACUGCCUGAGCUGGGACCCACUGCCCUCUGCCCCCAUGCUGCUUCCACAGGCAUGUGCAGCCUUGGAUGUGGGCCAGGGCCGGGCAGGGGAUGCUCUGACAGGACAGUUUGGAUAGAUGAAGGUGAAGGGCAUAGAAGCCCUUACUGCAUUCAAGAUGCUAAUUACACUUGCCCAUUUAGUUUUUAGUCAAAAUCAAUUUUUUACUCUCAUUUUCAUUUUAUGCAUGUUGUCAUAAGUGGGAAAAAAGACUGUCUUGUCAGAAUGAUUGAAUCUUCCAUGAAAUGAAAGCCAUUUCCUGAAUACUGUCCAUUCAAGAGAAUAAAAAGGAAGGAGAGUGCCAUGAGCUUCAGAAACUUGGCCUUUACAGUUAUGGCAAUUGGAACACUUCUACCAAUCUGUAUGUUUUCUUAUUUCUGAAAAUUGUGUAAGUAAUAUAAGACCAAUAAUGCUGGCAAAUCUAUUGCAGUCUGAUAAUUUGCAUUGCAGUGUGACAUUGGAAGACAGAGAAUCCCUGCCUAAAAUUUACAUAAUCACAACUAUUCAACAAGCUAAUUCUCAACACAAAGACAAUUUAGAAAAUGUAAAAAAUUAAUGUCUGUAUUAUUUUAAGCCCCACUAUUUCUGCUUUGUAAAACAUAAAGACAUGCUGUUUCCUGGGAAGUUAUGUAAACAGAUCAAAUAUUUAAGUAUUUGAUUACUAUUAAAUAUCUGGGUGAUAUGGUUUCACUGUGUCCCUACCUAAAUCUCAACUUGAAUUGUAUCUCCCAGAAUUCCCACAUGUGUUGGGAGGGACCCAGAGGGAGGUAGUAGAAUCAUGGGGGCCAGUCUUUCCCAUGCUAUUUGGGUGAUAGUGAAUAAGUCUCACGAGAUCUAAUGGGUUUGUCAGGGGGUUCAGCUUUUGCUUCUUCCUCAUUUUUACUUUC
This 1803-nucleotide long non-coding RNA is filed under the name Homo sapiens (human). Its description in RNAcentral is "HSALNT0026240". The record is from RNAcentral. Lineage: Eukaryota; Metazoa; Chordata; Mammalia; Primates; Hominidae.